Molecule: ribosomal RNA, 417 nt
Filed under: uncultured bacterium
Lineage: Bacteria
Description: bacterial SSU rRNA
Rfam family: Bacterial small subunit ribosomal RNA
Source: RNAcentral
AGCGAACGCUGGCGGCAGGCCUAACACAUGCAAGUCGAGCGCCCGUAGCAAUACGGGAGCGGCAGACGGGAGAGUAACACGUGGGAACGUACCCUUCAGUUCGGAACAACCCAGGGAAACUUGGGCUAAUACCGAAUACGUCCGUAAGGAGAAAGAUUUAUCGCUGAAGGAUCGGCCCGCGUCUGAUUAGCUAGUUGGUGAGGUAACGGCUCACCAAGGCGACGAUCAGUAGCNGGUCUGAGAGGAUGAUCAGCCUCACUGGGACUGAGACACGGCCCAGACUCCUACGGGAGGCAGCAGUGGGGAAUAUUGGACAAUGGCGCAAGCCUGAUCCAGCCAUGCCGCGUGGAUGAUGAAGGCCCUAGGGUUGUAAAGUCCUUUCGCGGGGGAAGAUAAUGACGGUACCCGCAGAAGAAG